AUGGCUCAGUGAGGCCUUCGGACUGGCUCCAGGAGGUCGGCAACGACCACCCAGAGCCGGAAAGUUGGUCAAACUUGGUCAUUUAGAGGAAGUAAAAGUCGUAACAAGGUCUCCGUAGGUGAACCUGCGGAGGGAUCAUU
RNAcentral lists this ribosomal RNA (140 nucleotides) under Pilidium lythri. RNAcentral describes it as "partial 18S ribosomal RNA". It matches the Rfam family "Eukaryotic small subunit ribosomal RNA", at positions 1693 to 1830 of the family's 1831-position model. The record is from RNAcentral. Lineage: Eukaryota; Fungi; Ascomycota; Leotiomycetes; Chaetomellales; Chaetomellaceae.